This 547-nucleotide ribosomal RNA is filed under the name uncultured bacterium. RNAcentral describes it as "bacterial SSU rRNA". It matches the Rfam family "Bacterial small subunit ribosomal RNA", at positions 358 to 916 of the family's 1533-position model. The record is from RNAcentral.
GGAAUAUUGCGCAAUGGAGGAAACUCUGACGCAGCGACGCCGCGUGCGGGAUGAAGGCCUUCGGGUUGUAAACCGCUUUCAGUAGGGAAGAAGCGAAAGUGACGGUACCUACAAAAGAAGCACCGGCUAACUAUGUGCCAGCAGCCGCGGUAAUACAUAGGGUGCAAGCGUUGUCCGGAAUUAUUGGGCGUAAAGAGCUCGUAGGUCGUUUGUUACGUCGGAUGUGAAAAUCUGAGGCUCAACCUCAGACCUGCAUUCGAUACGGGCAAACUAGAGUUUGGUAGAGGAGACUGGAAUUCCUGGUGUAGCGGUGGAAUGCGCAGAUAUCAGGAGGAACAUCAACGGCGAAGGCAGGUCUCUGGGCCAAUACUGACACUGAGGAGCGAAAGCGCGGGGAGCGAACAGGAUUAGAUACCCUGGUAGUCCGCGCCGUAAACGGUGGGUACUAGUUGUGGGAAUCUUCCACGGUUUCUGCGACGACGCUAACGCAUUAAGUACCCCGCCUGGGGAGUACGAUCGCAAGAUUAAAACUCAAAUGAAUUGACGG